CUACGGGUUGCUCCAGUGGGGAAUAUUGCACAAUGGGCGCAAGCCUGAUGCAGCCAUGCCGCGUGUAUGAAGAAGGCCUUCGGGUUGUAAAGUACUUUCAGCGGGGAGGAAGGGAGUAAAGUUAAUACCUUUGCUCAUUGACGUUACCCGCAGAAGAAGCACCGGCUAACUCCAUGCCAGCAGCCGCGGUAAUACGGAGGGUGAAAGCGUUAAUCGGAAUUACUGGGCGUAAAGCGCACGCAGGCGGUUUGUUAAGUCAGAUGUGAAAUCCCCGGGCUCAACCUGGGAACUGCAUCUGAUACUGGCAAGCUUGAGUCUCGUAGAGGGGGGUAGAAUUCCAGGUGUAGCGGUGAAAUGCGUAGAGAUCUGGAGGAAUACCGGUGGCGAAGGCGGCCCCCUGGACGAAGACUGACGCUCAGGUGCGAAAGCGUGGGGAGCAAACGGGAUUAGAUACCCCUGUAGUC
Molecule: ribosomal RNA, 464 nt
Filed under: uncultured bacterium
Lineage: Bacteria
Description: partial 16S ribosomal RNA
Rfam family: Bacterial small subunit ribosomal RNA
Source: RNAcentral